Molecule: long non-coding RNA, 5164 nt
Organism: Panthera uncia (snow leopard)
Lineage: Eukaryota; Metazoa; Chordata; Mammalia; Carnivora; Felidae
Exons: 3
Source: RefSeq, a predicted model, not a curated record
AAAGCUUAGAUUAUAGCCAUGCUGGGUUUCUGCUAUAUUUAUUCAUUUUUUCCCCUUUGGUUUUUUAUACAUUAUAUAAAAAGUGACUUGGAAUGUUUACUUUUUUUUCUCUAGUUUUAAGUGCUACUUUAUACGUUUCAAAUUAAGCAUAUAAUAUAGCUGGGAAUUAAUUAAUUAAUUAAUUAAAUGGAUUCCCAUUUAAAAAAUGGGGAUCUCAUAUGUCCUCAAAUAGAAGUUUAGAAAGCAUCUUACAUUACCUAUGGGUUUUUCUGACUUACUCCAACUAGAAUGGGAAAGUGUUUCUAAAUGUGAUUAUGUUUCAGUACCAUUAGCCUAUUGUUUUUUGAAAGACAUAUUAAUGUUUGGAGAAAACCUUUGGUUUCCCAGUUAUGGUAGUUCAUAUGCCUUUGGGUCAGUCAUUUAAAGUAUACUUUACACUUACAUACUUUAACUUAGCACAAGUAUGACUAUAUUACAAUCAUAAAGGAUUGACAAUUUGUAAAUAGGAAAACAUCAAGAUAAAAUUUUAAAUCAUCCCAUAUUUGCAGUCCUCUAUAUCUGCAUACUUGUACUUACUGAAUGAAUGAACAAAUGGAAACUUAUUUGCUCACUUACCUUGAGCAUGUCUCUUCACACCUCUGGGCUUCUGCCUUUCUGUACAAUGAAGAAAUGGAAUCAGAAAUCUCUCAAGUGUCUUUUAGCUCUCAGUGGUAUGUAAAAUUUGGUAAUAUAUUAACCCCCAGGGAGAAUCCAGAAAUACUUGGAAAAAUUAAUGUAAUUAAAUUAAGAAAGGUUUUUUAUAAUCUCCUGUGUUUUGCAGCUCAUGUCCUCUAAGCGAGUCAGGAUGCUUGAGCACUCAAUUUUAUUUACCACCCACCUCUAUGCAGACAAUUUCCAGAUCUUCCUCUUCUGCCCUGACCUUUUAUAUUCUUCUCAGUCAAGAUUUCUUUCUGUUUAUGGAACAUCUUUACUUAGAUGUCCUGCCAUCACCUAAAUCUAAACAUGCUUAAAAAAAUAAAAAGAAAAGAAUUCAUGGUCUCCCCUUAGCCUGUCUAUUCUGCUUUCCCUUUGUAUCAUUUCUAGGCAGAAACCCUGGGCAUUCCCUGCCCAUUCCCAUUUACUUACCAUCUCCAGGAUGGUCUAAAUUCUGCUGAUUCCUACUCAUUUUUUUAAUUCCUGUGUUCUGCAUUCCCACAGCGUCAGUCUGGUCCAUGCCCUGUGCACCCAGGUUAUUUUAAGGGCCUCCUAGUGAGCCUGCCUUCCUGUAUUCAUUCCUUUUUUUUUUUUAUGAACACUAUGAAGAGCCAAAGAAUCCUUUUAUUCAAAUGCCUUUUGAGCAGCAAGACAAACUCCUUUUCUGACUCCAGUAAUUUAGUAGUGGUAUGUGCCUUUAGGGUGGUAUUUAUUUUUGUAUGUAAAUUUCAAACAUAAAUAUUUACUUAUGUAAGUUUUGUCUCUCGUCCUAAAUCAGGAGUUGGUUUGGGAUUAGAACCUUUCUUCUCUUCUUACUUCUUCCUACAGAUUUUGUUGAAUAUCUACUUGUGUAAGAUGCUCUGUUAAGCAUUUUGACAGCUAUAAACAUAGAUGGAACAUGAUUCUUAUCUUUGGGAAGAGUACUCCUACUUCCUGAGCUUACUAAAACCUGGAAUUUGUUUCACAAAACUUUUUUUCAAGGAAGCCAGCUCCAUGGAAACAAGGAAUUGCCUUCCUUUUCCCUGCUAUAUUCCCAGGUCCUAGAGCUGUGACACCAGGAUGUAUUUUUCUGCCAGCUUAUGGCAUCACCUGAGGUUUGUUAAAUUAAUAGAAUUAUGGACCCAGACCCAGAUCUCCCAAAUUAGAAUCUGUAUUUACUAUUCACUGAUAAUUCUUAAACACAUUAAAUUUUGAGAAACAUUUGUCUAGGAACCUACCUGUUCCUAGUAAUUUUUCUAUGAAUUGUUACUAAAUAAAUGACUAUAGGUUUUACCAUCACAGUUAGCAGAUUUAAAAUCCAUAAUAAAUGUACUUCAAUAAUAUCCUUAACAGAUUUAAUGAAAUAUAAUCUGCAUGCCAUAAAAUUCACCCAUUUUAAGUGUACAGGUCAAUGACUUUUAGUAAAUUUGUAGAGUUGCGCAUACAGCACUGCAGUCUAAUUUCAGAACCUUUCUGUCACUCCCAAAAGAUCCCUUUUGCCCAUUUGCAGUCAUUUCCCAUUUCCAACUGCAGCCACUAUAACAUUAUUUUAAUAUCCAUCUGCCAUUCCACAUUGUGGAUAGAGAGUAAAUAAAGGGGGAACAAAUACAUCUCUUUCAUACACACUUCGGUAAGUAAAAGUGAUUCUUGAAUGAGUUUCAUUGUGGUUUAACUUAGCAUUCGCCACAACUAAAUGGAUUUGCUAAACAACUAAGAGUUCAAAUAUGAUUCAAGGGAAAUGUUUACCACUUUGGGGGAACAAAACGUUUGCAAAUAGUUUAUUUUCUAAACUAACGGGGCACAUAUUUACAACUAAACAUUAUCAGUCUAACAAAAACAGAAGCCAUAAGAGUUUAGUUUUUAACUUUAGUACACUAAUUACAAAUCACUGCCAUCUACUCAGGGCCAAUGCUAGGCCAGCCUGCAACCUUCGAUUGAUAUUUGAGGUUUUGUAUCUCUUUAGAAGUUUGUAUUAGCUGAGUUGACUUUUGGGAUGUGGGGGAGGAAGUCUCUUUACUCUUUCGUCUCCUCUACUAAAUUCAUGUUCUUAAGAUCUUUCUCUUGGACUUUCUGAGUUGGCCAAUAAAUGAUCUCAUUGGCCCCAAUCAUUCUAUAUCUUCAUCUCCUUCAUUCUCUAUUCCCAACUCCAAGAGGAGUUAUUUCAAAUCCUCUGCUUAAAAACCUUCCAUGAUUUCAAACUGUUCAUAUAGUGAAGUCCAAACUCUCUAGCAUGUAUUUAGUGCAGCCUGUUUUUUUCUUUCUUUUUUUUAAAUUUUUUUUUUGCAGCCUGUUUUUUUCUAUCUCAUGGCUUGUGCUGCUCACAUUCCCACCUGGCCUGUUAGACAUGCCACACCUCUCACUGUUCUCAAAAUCUUCCAAGCACAUCACACAUCCAGGUCUUUGCUAAGUCUGUUACCUCCCUGCGUAAUGCUAUCUCAUUUCUCCCUACUCAUACAUGAAAUCUUAUUAUUUGGACAAUAACUUAAAUGCUUCUAUGAUCCCUUCUCCAAGAUGCAUCCUUUCCUCAAUGAGGUUGCCUCUUUUUCCAUUUGUGCUCACUUAAUAUUGUAUUUUUACUUCAAAUUUAUUAUAUAGAAGGAUGAUGACUAUGUCAUAAUUAGUUACCUGUUCCUAUCACCUUUCACCAUAUCUGUUAUAUAGUAGGAGCUUAAUAAAGAAUGUGUAAGUUCGUGAAUGGUUAAGGGAAUCUUUGAAAACCUGCCUUUGAAGAUUGUUGGACCUGGAAUCGCUCUAACAUCUAGAUGAAACAUAAACUUCGAACACACUAGUCAGAAGUACUUGGUAUUGUGUGUGUGUGCGUGUGUGUGUGUGUCCCUUUUGUACCAAUGUAUCUAUUGAAACUUACAAUUUGAGAUAAGAAAAAGCAUUAACAAGGUAAGAUUUGUUUUUUGUAGAGUUGGUCCUAGAAGUCUGGCUUAUGAUGGAAUUUAAUAUACUGUUUCAUCCAUUUAAAAUCAUAAACUCUAAUAGCUGAAAGGACUUAAAAGAUAGGUUUUUUUUUAAUCCACUGGUUUUCCAGGUGAGAAAAACAUUGCCCAUUGUCUUUAUUUGUACAGUUUUCUUUUUCAUCUCGCAUGACAGGGGACUGAGGCAAUCUUUUUACUUUUAAUCUUUUACUCUAUAUCUCUUUAUUAAUAACCUAGUUAAACACUGUGCCUGAAUAUGCCCGUUCUCUGCAUAGGAUUUUGAAAGCCGCAGAACUAUUUCACAAGGCAGAUCUGGUUUCUUGGGGAAGAACUCAGGGAAGAAGUCUCCAUUUUCCAACCCACUUGUAAUAGAAUGUUCCUUCCCCAACAUUUAUUUGCCACUUGGUGGCCACUGGGCUUUGUAGUAAUAAAAAAAAAAUCACACGAAACUAAAUAAAAGGUCUGAAAUUCGCUUUGACUAUUUUUACCCCUUUAUCAACUCUGUAUUUUAAAUCAUUAAAAAAAAAACGUUAAUUUCCCCUACAUCCUCAUAAAUUGGGCAAUACUCAACCACUAUUUAAGAAAGUUCAGUGCUUAAAAAGUAUCUUAAAAAAUGGAGAAAAAUAUGGAACUAUUCCACAUGUGAAAUAUUAAUAUUUAUUAAGCUGAAGGUUUUUUAACAAAUAAAUACAUUAUUGUUUUUAUAAGACCUUUCUUUGUAAAGACAAGAAUUAAAAAUUGAAAAAUGUAAGGAAUGCUUACAGGAAUGAAUGCAUACAUAAAAAGUACAGAUAAAGCAGGAGAUUCCAUAAAGCACAUAGAUAGUGAGACAGCAAUUCUCAUCUUUCUCUCUGUAUAAAUAUGUAUCUCCCUUGAAAUAAAUGUCAUUAACAGCAUUAUGAAAUGUCUAAUACAUAUUAAACACUUUAUUUAAAAUCUGACAGGUGAGUUAAACACUUGUGCAGACACCCCUUGCUUUCCUUAGAAAGCUAUAUUUCAGAAAAUUUAGCAGGCAAGUAAAUGCUGUUGUCGCACCUGACUUACAUUAUAGCAUCAUUAUAGAAUUCUCCCAAAAUAAUUUAUUUAGAAUAAGAUUUAUUUAUACCUUGUAAUGUCCCUGGGUAAAAUGAAAUUGAUUUGUUUUUAAAGGAUUUUAUAGUUAUUGUUUUAAUUGUGUAACCUUUCCAUAAAUUAAAAAAAAAAUCUUAAACAUCAUUACAUCUAUCACACAGUAAAAAGUUUUCAGUGCUAUGCUUUUACUGUAAUUCAUUGUGUUACUUGAGAGGUUCUAUGAUUUUUUUCUCAAAGCAACAUCUAUGCUUGAUUGAUUUGCUAGAGUUUACUGAAAUAUGUACCAAUAUAAUUCCUCAUUAAAUUAAAAUGUUGGGGGCAUCUGGGUGGAUCAGUAGGUUAAGUGUUUGACUCUUGAUUUCAGCUCAGGUCAUGGGAUCAAGCCCCUUUCUGGCACCACACUCAGUGUGGAGCCAGCUUGGGACUGUCUCUUUUUCACUCUCUCUCUCUUUCCCUCCCUGCUCCUCUCCCCUGAUGUUUCUCUCUCUCUCUCU